RNAcentral lists this ribosomal RNA (253 nucleotides) under uncultured prokaryote. Its description in RNAcentral is "partial 16S ribosomal RNA". It matches the Rfam family "Bacterial small subunit ribosomal RNA", at positions 525 to 777 of the family's 1533-position model. The record is from RNAcentral.
ACGGAGGGUGCGAGCGUUAAUCGGAAUUACUGGGCGUAAAGCGCACGUAGGCGGCUAAGUAAGUGGGAUGUGAAAUCCCCGGGCUUAACCUGGGAACUGCAUUUGUGACUGCAUCGCUGGAGUGCGGCAGAGGGGGAUGGAAUUCCGCGUGUAGCAGUGAAAUGCGUAGAUAUGCGGAGGAACACCGAUGGCGAAGGCAAUCCCCUGGGCCUGCACUGACGCUCAUGCACGAAAGCGUGGGGAGCAAACAGGA